Molecule: long non-coding RNA, 863 nt
Filed under: Chinchilla lanigera (long-tailed chinchilla)
Lineage: Eukaryota; Metazoa; Chordata; Mammalia; Rodentia; Chinchillidae
Description: lncRNA (ENSCLAG00000025295.1)
Source: RNAcentral
CUGUCUUCUAAAACUAAGAUUGUAGCAAUGGAAGCCUUUAUUUUCACCUUCACACAUUUAGAACGCAAAAAUUCUAAAGAAGCAGUCAUGCAGAUGGUGGCUGUCACUGCCUACACCACCAUGGAAAUGGGUUCUCCCUGCAGACAGGCACAGUACUUCACAGCACUCAUUUGCAUAAAGAGCCUCUCUGGAAGCCGGCAGGCACUCCCCCUCAUCAACGUGCACCUGGCCAGUUCCUCCUGUCCCAGCGUGGAGGUUCUGAGACGAGCCCACCACGGAUCCUGGCACAACCCGGUGACCCACUUACCCAGGACCUGCAGCGCCUGCGGCGGCUGCCUCCCAGGAAGGGCUUCGCCCAGACCACGGGGCAGGCGGCUCGAAGGACUGAAGCUCGUGGGAGGACAGGCUCACCGCGCUCACCGGUGUCUAACCCGCCCGCGAGGGUUUGCUAACCACUGAUUCUUUAGGGCACACAGCUGGGCGCUUUUAUCCUUAAUUCCUUCCGGCAGGCCCUCGUUCUUAGAAGAUCUAGUAAACUUCUCCAUGCUUGUCUUUUUUCAGAAUCAGCUUUGCAGAGAGCACAGAUUGCAACACAAUGCAUUAGUAAACUGCAUUAUAAUUUACUCCUUUGCUUUUCCUAAUUCUGUGCUCUUGAGUCUAUGUGUUUUUGGUUCUCAUGGAAUAUUGAGUAUCUAUUAAUGCCUCAAUAAAAUGUACUUCUUCCUAUGUCUAGCAUGUAAUGCCUCCAUAAUGUGUAAGAUGGGACCGAGCAAGAGGAAGGUAGCAAGUAUUUCAAACACCCUCUGAGACUGAAAUUGUCCACCUUGUGUUUGACAUUGUACGAUGCUGUACAAGUGUACCUG